UCGAACGCGAAAGUCCCGCAAGGGAUCAGUAGAGUGGCAAACGGGUGAGUAACGCGUGGGUGACCUGCCUUCGAGCGGGGGAUAACGUUCCGAAAGGGACGCUAAUACCGCAUAACAUCCUGCCUUUUAAGAGGUGGAGAUCAAAGCCUGGGACCGCAAGGCCAGGCACUCGAAGAGGGGCCCGCGUCCGAUUAGCUAGUUGGUGGGGUAAUGGCUCACCAAGGCUCCGAUCGGUAUCCGGCCUGAGAGGGCGGACGGACACACUGGGACUGAGACACGGCCCAGACUCCUACGGGAGGCAGCAGUGGGGAAUUGUUCGCAAUGGGCGCAAGCCUGACGACGCAACGCCGCGUGGAGGAUGAAGAUCUUCGGGUCGUAAACUCCUUUCGAUCGAGACGAACGACUUCCGGGUAACAUCCGGAAGAGUGACGGUACCGAGAGAAGAAGCCCCGGCUAACUCCGUGCCAGCAGCCGCGGUAAUACGGGGGGGGCAAGCGUUGUUCGGAAUUACUGGGCGUAAAGGGCUCGUAGGUGGCCAACUAAGUCAGACGUGAAAUCCCUCGGCUUAACCGGGGAACUGCGUCUGAUACUGGAUGGCUUGAGUUUGGGAGAGGGACGCGGAAUUCCAGGUGUAGCGGUGAAAUGCGUAGAUAUCUGGAGGAACA
This 665-nucleotide ribosomal RNA is filed under the name uncultured bacterium. Its description in RNAcentral is "bacterial SSU rRNA". It matches the Rfam family "Bacterial small subunit ribosomal RNA", at positions 62 to 708 of the family's 1533-position model. The record is from RNAcentral.